AUUCAGCUGACGAGUCCCAAAUAGAACGAAACGCGUUUUAUCGUGGAU
RNAcentral lists this non-coding RNA (48 nucleotides) under Schistosoma margrebowiei. Lineage: Eukaryota; Metazoa; Platyhelminthes; Trematoda; Strigeidida; Schistosomatidae. The record is from RNAcentral.